Molecule: long non-coding RNA, 912 nt
Organism: Brassica napus (rape)
Lineage: Eukaryota; Viridiplantae; Streptophyta; Magnoliopsida; Brassicales; Brassicaceae
Exons: 2
Source: RefSeq, a predicted model, not a curated record
UUAAAAUUAAAAUAAUCAUCUUUUUAUAUAUAAAAUUAAAAUUAAAAUAAACUAAAAAGUGAAUAUAAUCAUUAAUCUCCCCAUUUUUAAUAGUUAAUUCAUUAAAUGGCGGAUUGUAAUCUGAACCGUUGAUUAGAUCUCAUCUAAUGGUCUAGAUUGAUCCAUCUAUGCUUCUUCCUCUAUCUCCAUGCUUCAUCUCCAUUGGUCAAUAUUUCUCACACUUGGAUUGCUAUCUCCAUUGUUCAUUAUCUCUAAUCCAAAGGUGCACAGUCUUAGUCACUUUAUUUAUUUUUAAUGUACUUUUCUCAUCUUCUCUUCUCCUCUCGCCGACAGGUUUUUACUUUUCUUACUUCAACCCAUUUUCAACAAAUCGAAGAAGAAGAACUGUUGGAGAAGAACACGAUGGUCUCCCAUUGAGGAAACCCCGCCUCUGUCGCUGUUGUGAAGGAAGCACUGUGACUCAUCUCUACUCUGUGACGUCUCCUUCCUUCACGGCAAGCACUCAUCUCAAAUGUUUGCUCUUGCUGAAAUCAAUUUGUGGUUUGGUUGAUGACAGAGGAAGCUAGUGCCCUCGUCUUCUCCUCUCUGCUCCUCCAACAAGACGAAAGAGAAAGAAGCAAACAAGAAGAGACAUCACCGUAACUUGCUCAGAUCAGGUUGGCCAGAGAGGAUGAAGAAGAAUACGCCGUGUAGGUGGUUGAGGUGGUGAAGGAAGAUGAAGAAGCUUAAUGGACGUGGUGUUGAUGGCGGCUGAGUUAGAUUUUUUGUAGGGUUAGAUUUUUUUUUGUUUAUCUGGUUUAGUGUAAACCUAAACCAAUUUGUAACUGUAAACCAAUGUAAUUGUAAACCAAUGUAAUUGUAAACCAAAAUUCAAUUUAUAAAAUUAAAUACCAAUUUAUUAUUUUUAGUUAA